This is a non-coding RNA of Caenorhabditis elegans, 139 nucleotides long. NCBI's taxonomy places the organism in Eukaryota, Metazoa, Nematoda, Chromadorea, Rhabditida, Rhabditidae. The record is from Ensembl.
CAUCACUGGUGUGCAGAAGCCAAUGAGUGUGGAUGGAUGCAAAUCGACUAACGACAAUGUGGGAGGGUUCCCGAUAUACACCUCUCUCCGACCUAGUUGAAUCAAGACAAGAAGUACCCCCUCCGAUAUUGUCCUUUCA